UGGAGGUAAAAGUCGUAACAAGGUCUCCGUUGGUGAACCAGCGGAGGGAUCAUUACCGAGUUUACAACUCCCAAACCCCAAUGUGAACGUUACCAAACUGUUGCCUCGGCGGGAUUUCUGCCCCGGGCGCGUCGCAGCCCCGGACCAAGGCGCCCGCCGGAGGACCAAUUUACAAACUCUUUUGUAUAUCCCAUCGCGGAUUCUUUACAUUCUGAGCUUUCUCGGCGCUCCUAGCGAGCGUUUCGAAAAUGAAUCAAAACUUUCAACAACGGAUCUCUUGGUUCUGGCAUCGAUGAAGAACGCAGCGAAAUGCGAUAAGUAAUGUGAAUUGCAGAAUUCAGUGAAUCAUCGAAUCUUUGAACGCACAUUGCGCCCGCCAGUAUUCUGGCGGGCAUGCCUGUCCGAGCGUCAUUUCAACCCUCGAACCCCUCCGGGGGGUCGGCGUUGGGGAUCGGCACUUACCUGCCGGCCCCGAAAUACAGUGGCGGUCUCGCCGCAGCCUCUCCUGCGCAGUAGUUUGCACACUCGCACCGGGAGCGCGGCGCGUCCACGGCCGUAAAACAACCCAAACUUCUGAAAUGUUGACCUCGGAUCAGGUAGGAAUACCCGCUGAACUUAAGCAUAUCAAUAAGCGGAGGA
Molecule: ribosomal RNA, 639 nt
Filed under: Trichoderma brevicompactum
Lineage: Eukaryota; Fungi; Ascomycota; Sordariomycetes; Hypocreales; Hypocreaceae
Description: eukaryotic LSU rRNA
Rfam family: 5.8S ribosomal RNA (bases 258-411)
Source: RNAcentral